This is a non-coding RNA of Xyrichtys novacula (pearly razorfish), 2092 nucleotides long. Lineage: Eukaryota; Metazoa; Chordata; Actinopteri; Labriformes; Labridae. The record is from the annotation of a GenBank genome assembly.
AUGUCCAAUCUACUUACUACCUCCCUCAUCAUUGCCGCCCUACUCUCCUCGAUCCUAGCCUUGGUGUCUUUCUGGCUGCCUCAGAUAAUUCCAGACUACGAGAAACUAUCGCCCUAUGAAUGCGGAUUUGACCCCCUGGGCACAGCCCGCCUGCCCUUCUCCCUCCGCUUUUUCCUUGUCGCGAUCCUCUUUCUACUGUUUGACCUUGAAAUUGCCCUACUGCUCCCCCUCCCGUGGGGGGACCAGCUAACCACCCCAUUGCUAACUUUCUGCUGGGCAUCAGGUGUCUUAAUUUUACUUACUGUGGGAUUAAUCUAUGAAUGAAUACAAGGCGGGCUGGAGUGGGCGGAGUAGACUGUUAGUUUAAUUAAAACCUUUGAUUUCGGCUCAAAAGCUUGUGGUUAAAUUCCACAAUAGUCUUAUGACUCCUGCUCACUUUGCCUUCUCCUCAACAUUUACGCUAGGCCUGAUAGGACUAACAUUCCACCGAACCCAUCUUUUGUCUGCCCUCUUAUGUUUGGAAGGAAUAAUACUAUCUCUAUUCAUUGCCUUUGCACUCUGGACCCUGCAACUAAACUCCUCUAGUUUUUCAAUUGCACCUAUAAUCCUCCUGGCCUUCUCAGCCUGUGAGGCCAGCGCUGGCCUAGGACUUCUUGUUGCAACCGCUCGCACUCACGGCUCUGACCGCAUGCAAAACCUAAACCUCCUCCAAUGUUAAAAAUCCUAAUCCCAACUUUUCUUCUCAUUCCAACCACCUGGUGGACCCCUUCUAAAUGGAUUUGACAAGUUUCGGCUGCCCAAAGCCUCCUCAUUGCCACACUGAGCCUAGUUUGAAUAAAGAAGCCCUGAGAUACGACUUGAACCUACUUAAGUCCCAUUACAGGAGCUGAUGCUUUGUCCAGUCCCCUUCUUGUCCUCUCCUGCUGACUACUGCCUCUUAUAAUUAUUGCCAGCCAAAACCACAUAUCCUCUGAACCAGCCCACCGUCAACGACUCUACAUCUCGCUAAUAAUUACCCUUCAAUUCUUUUUAAUCCUUGCUUUUAGUGCAACAGAAGUAAUCAUGUUUUACGUUAUAUUUGAGGCCACUCUUAUUCCAACCCUAUUCCUCAUCACCCGCUGAGGAAACCAGGCAGAACGCUUAAAUGCAGGAACCUAUUUCCUUUUCUACACCCUGGCUGGCUCCCUCCCCCUUCUAGUGGCCCUCCUCCUCCUUCAAGCCUCCUCUGGGUCCCUUUCAAUCCUUACGCUCCAGUAUAUAAAACCCUUCAUUUACCACUCUUACGCCGACAACUUCUGAUGAGCUGCAUGUCUUCUGGCAUUUUUAGUAAAAAUGCCCCUCUAUGGAGUCCAUCUUUGGCUACCCAAGGCCCACGUAGAAGCACCCAUUGCUGGGUCUAUAAUCCUUGCCGCCGUCUUACUAAAACUAGGGGGCUACGGAAUAAUACGAAUCCUUAUUAUUCUUGACCCCCUGACAAAAGAGCUUAGCUAUCCAUUUAUCAUCCUUGCUCUCUGGGGAGUUAUUAUAACUAGCUCAAUCUGCUUACGACAAACCGACCUGAAAUCACUAAUUGCCUACUCCUCCGUAAGCCACAUAGGACUAGUGGCAGCAGGCAUCCUCAUUCAAACACCCUGAAGCUUUACAGGAGCAUUAAUUCUCAUGAUUGCCCACGGACUGACCUCAUCUGCACUUUUCUGCCUUGCAAACACCAACUACGAACGAACUCACACACGAACAAUAGUACUAGCCCGAGGACUACAAAUGGCCCUUCCUCUAAUAGCCGCAUGAUGAUUUAUUGCCAGCCUAGCCAAUCUUGCACUUCCCCCGCUUCCGAACCUCAUGGCAGAAAUGAUGAUCAUUGUAAGUAUGCUCAACUGAUCGUGAUGAACAAUCGCUCUCACUGGGACAGGAACCUUGAUCACAGCGGCCUAUUCUCUCUACAUAUUUUUAAUGACACAACGAGGACCCCUCCCUCCCCACAUUAUCAAUCUCCCCCCAUCAUUCUCCCGAGAACACCUCCUCAUAGCCCUACACCUCCUCCCGCUUCUCGCCCUUAUCCUCAAGCCAUCCCUAAUCUCGGGCCCCCUCGCAU